This 293-nucleotide ribosomal RNA is filed under the name uncultured bacterium. Its description in RNAcentral is "partial 16S ribosomal RNA". It matches the Rfam family "Bacterial small subunit ribosomal RNA", at positions 505 to 796 of the family's 1533-position model. The record is from RNAcentral.
GUGCCAGCAGCCGCGGUAACACGUAGGGUGCAAGCGUUGUCCGGAAUCAUUGGGCGUAAAGAGCUCGUAGGCGGCUUAGUAAGUCGGGUGUGAAAACUCUAGGCUCAACCUAGAGACGCCACCCGAUACUGCUAUAGCUAGAAUCCAGUAGGGGAGUGUGGAAUUCCCAAUGUAGCGGUGAAAUGCGCAGAUAUUGGGAGGAACACCAGCGGCGAAGGCGGCACUCUGGGCUGGUAUUGACGCUGAGGAGCGAAAGCGUGGGUAGCGAACAGGAUUAGAUACCCCUGUAGUCC